Molecule: small nucleolar RNA, 123 nt
Organism: Artibeus jamaicensis (Jamaican fruit-eating bat)
Lineage: Eukaryota; Metazoa; Chordata; Mammalia; Chiroptera; Phyllostomidae
Product: small nucleolar RNA SNORA28
Exons: 1
Source: RefSeq, a predicted model, not a curated record
AAGCAACAUUCUGUGGCAGAUGAUCAAAACCGUCUGACACAAUUUGAACUUGCUCUAGCAACAGCGUCUAGCCCAGGCCGGUGCUCUCUGCAUGAGACAAGCCGUCAUAUAGACUCAGACAGC